RNAcentral lists this non-coding RNA (24 nucleotides) under Arabidopsis thaliana (thale cress). Lineage: Eukaryota; Viridiplantae; Streptophyta; Magnoliopsida; Brassicales; Brassicaceae. The record is from RNAcentral.
AAACUAAGAACUACAGAAAUCGAU